This is a long non-coding RNA of Cottoperca gobio, 719 nucleotides long. RefSeq lists it as uncharacterized. The record is from RefSeq and is a predicted model, not a curated record. The transcript is spliced from 5 exons. Lineage: Eukaryota; Metazoa; Chordata; Actinopteri; Perciformes; Bovichtidae.
AGGACCUGCUGCUGGUCCUUUCAACAGGAACCCACCUGGACUUUCAGAUGGAGCAGAGUCUACAAGAGAGAGACUGUGUACAUUAACAUGAAGAAGACAUGGGAGCGCACCUAUCGAGAAUUGAGACGAUGUUGGUUUCACCUCCUCCAGAAUACAGCUCUACCACUAAACUUGUAACGCAGUGGACAUGAUGUCAGGACGUGCUGCAGUAAGAGGACCUGCUGCUGGUCCUUUCAACAGGAACCCACCUGGACUUCCAGAUGGAGCAGAGUCUACAAGAGAGAGACUGUGUGUACAUUAAAGUGAGGAAGACAUGGCAGCGCACCUGUUGCCAUCGACAAUCAAGGCGAUGUCCCGUCACCACCUCUAGGACAACAGAGAACUGGAGUUCCCAGACUGCCAAUGAAGGCUGGGCUGCAGUGCCCACUGCACAGGCCUCAGACUGGUCUUAAGUCAUAUCAUGACAACGCAUUAGAAAUAUGCAUCGCACAUCUGUCUGUCCGUGGAGUGGGAUCCUCAGUUGCUCUUCCUGAGGUUUCUUCCAUUUUAAAGGGUUUGUUUGGAGAGUUUUUAUCCAAGGCGAGGGUCAAAAAUGACGCAGAGUGUUGUAUGAUGUACAGAUUGUAAUGUUCCUUGAGGAAAAUUUGUGAUGUUGGGCUAUAUAAAUAAAACUGCACUUCAAGCUGAUUAAUCAAUAAAAGUGACCGAUAUUCAUAAAA